RNAcentral lists this ribosomal RNA (2771 nucleotides) under human gut metagenome. RNAcentral describes it as "bacterial LSU rRNA". It matches the Rfam family "Bacterial large subunit ribosomal RNA". The record is from RNAcentral.
AGCGUACACGGUGGAUGCCCUGGCAGUCAGAGGCGAUGAAGGACGUGCUAAUCUGCGAAAAGCGUCGGUAAGGUGAUAUGAACCGUUAUAACCGGCGAUGUCCGAAUGGGGAAACCCAGUGCAAUUCGUUGCACUAUCGUUAACUGAAUACAUAGGUUAACGAGGCGAACCGGGGGAACUGAAACAUCUAAGUACCCCGAGGAAAAGAAAUCAACCGAGAUUCCCCCAGUAGCGGCGAGCGAACGGGGAGCAGCCCAGAGUCUGAAUCAGCUUGUGUGUUAGUGGAACGGUCUGGAAAGUCCGACGGUACAGGGUGAUAGUCCCGUACACCAAAAUGCACAGGUUGUGAACUCGAAGAGUAGGGCGGGACACGUGGUAUCCUGUCUGAAUAUGGGGGGACCAUCCUCCAAGGCUAAAUACUCCUGACUGACCGAUAGUGAACCAGUACCGUGAGGGAAAGGCGAAAAGAACCCCGGCGAGGGGAGUGAAAAAGAACCUGAAACCGUGUACGUACAAGCAGUGGGAGCACCUUCGGGUGUGACUGCGUACCUUUUGUAUAAUGGGUCAGCGACUUAUAUUCUGUAGCAAGGUUAACCGUAUAGGGGAGCCGCAGGGAAACCGAGUCUUAACUGGGCGUUAAGUUGCAGGGUAUAGACCCGAAACCCGGUGAUCUAGCCAUGGGCAGGUUGAAGGUUGGGUAACACUAACUGGAGGACCGAACCGACUAAUGUUGAAAAAUUAGCGGAUGACUUGUGGCUGGGGGUGAAAGGCCAAUCAAACCGGGAGAUAGCUGGUUCUCCCCGAAAGCUAUUUAGGUAGCGCCUCGUGAAUUCAUCUUCGGGGGUAGAGCACUGUUUCGGCUAGGGGGUCAUCCCGACUUACCAACCCGAUGCAAACUACGAAUACCGAAGAAUGUUAUCACGGGAGACACACGGCGGGUGCUAACGUCCGUCGUGAAGAGGGAAACAACCCAGACCGCCAGCUAAGGUCCCAAAGUCAUGGUUAAGUGGGAAACGAUGUGGGAAGGCCCAGACAGCCAGGAUGUUGGCUUAGAAGCAGCCAUCAUUUAAAGAAAGCGUAAUAGCUCACUGGUCGAGUCGGCCUGCGCGGAAGAUGUAACGGGGCUAAACCAUGCACCGAAGCUGCGGCAGCGACACUAUGUGUUGUUGGGUAGGGGAGCGUUCUGUAAGCCUGCGAAGGUGUGCUGUGAGGCAUGCUGGAGGUAUCAGAAGUGCGAAUGCUGACAUAAGUAACGAUAAAGCGGGUGAAAAGCCCGCUCGCCGGAAGACCAAGGGUUCCUGUCCAACGUUAAUCGGGGCAGGGUGAGUCGACCCCUAAGGCGAGGCCGAAAGGCGUAGUCGAUGGGAAACAGGUUAAUAUUCCUGUACUUGGUGUUACUGCGAAGGGGGGACGGAGAAGGCUAUGUUAGCCGGGCGACGGUUGUCCCGGUUUAAGCAUGUAGGCUGGUUGUCCAGGCAAAUCCGGAUAAUCAAGGCUGAGGUGUGAUGACGAGGCACUACGGUGCUGAAGUAACAAAUGCCCUGCUUCCAGGAAAAGCCUCUAAGCAUCAGGUAACAUCAAAUCGUACCCCAAACCGACACAGGUGGUCAGGUAGAGAAUACCAAGGCGCUUGAGAGAACUCGGGUGAAGGAACUAGGCAAAAUGGUGCCGUAACUUCGGGAGAAGGCACGCUGGUGUGUAGGUGAAGUCCCUGCGGAUGGAGCUGAGACCAGUCGAAGAUACCAGCUGGCUGCAACUGUUUAUUAAAAACACAGCACUGUGCAAACACGAAAGUGGACGUAUACGGUGUGACGCCUGCCCGGUGCCGGAAGGUUAAUUGAUGGGGUUAUCCGUAAGGAGAAGCUCUUGAUCGAAGCCCCGGUAAACGGCGGCCGUAACUAUAACGGUCCUAAGGUAGCGAAAUUCCUUGUCGGGUAAGUUCCGACCUGCACGAAUGGCGUAAUGAUGGCCAGGCUGUCUCCACCCGAGACUCAGUGAAAUUGAACUCGCUGUGAAGAUGCAGUGUACCCGCGGCAAGACGGAAAGACCCCGUGAACCUUUACUAUAGCUUGACACUGAACAUUGAGCCUUGAUGUGUAGGAUAGGUGGGAGGCUUUGAAGCGUGGACGCCAGUCUGCGUGGAGCCAACCUUGAAAUACCACCCUUUAAUGUUUGAUGUUCUAACGUUGGCCCCUUACCGGGGUUGCGGACAGUGUCUGGUGGGUAGUUUGACUGGGGCGGUCUCCUCCCAAAGCGUAACGGAGGAGCACGAAGGUUAGCUAAUCCUGGUCGGACAUCAGGAGGUUAGUGCAAUGGCAUAAGCUAGCUUGACUGCGAGCGUGACGGCGCGAGCAGGUGCGAAAGCAGGUCAUAGUGAUCCGGUGGUUCUGAAUGGAAGGGCCAUCGCUCAACGGAUAAAAGGUACUCCGGGGAUAACAGGCUGAUACCGCCCAAGAGUUCAUAUCGACGGCGGUGUUUGGCACCUCGAUGUCGGCUCAUCACAUCCUGGGGCUGAAGUAGGUCCCAAGGGUAUGGCUGUUCGCCAUUUAAAGUGGUACGCGAGCUGGGUUUAGAACGUCGUGAGACAGUUCGGUCCCUAUCUGCCGUGGGCGCUGGAGAAUUGAGGGGGGCUGCUCCUAGUACGAGAGGACCGGAGUGGACGCAUCACUGGUGUUCGGGUUGUCAUGCCAAUGGCACUGCCCGGUAGCUAAAUGCGGAAGAGAUAAGUGCUGAAAGCAUCUAAGCACGAAACUUGCCCCGAGAUGAGUUCU